AGUCCGUGGUGCGAGCAACAUUGGAGCAAGUCUUUAUACCUCUCCCAAGCAUCAUACAUGCUAUUGUCAUUGAAUUACACAAAAGAAGAUAUAUCAUUUCUAAAUCU
Molecule: small nucleolar RNA, 107 nt
Filed under: Ricinus communis (castor bean)
Lineage: Eukaryota; Viridiplantae; Streptophyta; Magnoliopsida; Malpighiales; Euphorbiaceae
Description: Plant small nucleolar RNA R71
Rfam family: Plant small nucleolar RNA R71
About the family: R71 is a member of the C/D box family of snoRNAs containing the C (UGAUGA) and D (CUGA) box motifs.
Source: Rfam by way of RNAcentral